Diospyros lotus (date-plum) is the source of this 1253-nucleotide RNA transcript. It is a transcript of the gene named inositol monophosphatase 3-like, with no coding region annotated. The transcript is spliced from 12 exons. NCBI's taxonomy places the organism in Eukaryota, Viridiplantae, Streptophyta, Magnoliopsida, Ericales, Ebenaceae. The record is from RefSeq and is a predicted model, not a curated record.
AAAUAAAAUUUCCAACUGGAGAAUCUCCUCUUUUGUUGCUUUUUUGUAUGUUCUUGGCGAUGAUAAAAGGACUCUUUCGUUGCUUUUGGUUAAUUAUUAUAAAUUAAGGUGUCCUUGGCCCCCCAAAGCUCAAGAGCAAGCCUAUAUAUUUCUCUCCUCCCCUUCUUGUCUUCUCAUCCAGAAGGAAAAGAAAAAUGGCCCAAAACGAUUUACGCUCGGAGUUCCUCGCCGUUGCAGUCGAUGCAGCCAAGAAGGCCGGAGACAUCAUCCGUAAAAGCUUCUACCAAACUAAGCAUGUGGAAUACAAGGGCCAGGUGGAUUUGGUCACAGAAACCGACAAAGCAUGUGAAGAUCUCAUAUUCAAUCAUAUCAGGCAGCAUUUCCCUAGCCAUAAGUUCAUUGGGGAAGAAACCACUGCAGCUUGUGGCUUUAUGGAGUUGACUGCUGAACCAACAUGGAUAGUUGAUCCUGUUGAUGGUACAACUAACUUUGUCCAUGGGUUCCCCUUUGUGUGUGUUUCUAUUGGUUUAACAAUAGAAAAGGUCCCCAUAGUUGGUGUUGUCUACAAUCCUAUCAUGGAUGAGCUUUUCACUGCUAUUGAUGGAAAAGGUGCUUUUCUGAAUGGAAAACCAAUAAAAGUGUCUUCUCAGUCUGAACUUGUGAAAUCUCUCCUUGGCACUGAGGGUGGAACAAAUCGAGAUCAGUCAACUCGAGACGCCUUUACAAAAAGAAUUAAUUAUUUACUUUCAAAGGUCAGAUCACUCCGGUGGUGUGGCUCUUCUGCUCUGGACCUCUGUGGCAUUGCAUGCGGAAGGCUUGACCUAUUCUAUCAAUUUGGAUUCGGUGGUCCUUGGGAUGUUGCAGCUGGUGCUGUGAUUGUCAAAGAAGCCGGAGGAGUUCUGUUUGAUCCGUAAGGAACAAAGCAACUGUAAACUCUUCAGUUUCUGCUUCUCUUAUGCCCUCUUGUUCUGGCAAGGAAUUUGACAUCACAUCUCUAAGAAUAGCAGCAUCAAAUGAAGUUCUCAAGGAUUUACUUGUGGAGGCACUCAAAGAAUGUGCAGAAUGAAAGCCCAAUGGUAAUGGCAGUUGAAAGCUUCACUUGAGCAGUUUAGUUACUUUGGAAAUGAGGAUGCUAGGCAAUUAUUUCUAGUUAUUGUUUGUGGGUCUCUCAAGCAGUGCCCAGAUUGUUUGCGACAUUGAAUUGAUCUGACUGACAAGUGGGUAUUUUCUAUAACAUUAUAAAUUUGUGGUUA